Triticum urartu is the source of this 557-nucleotide non-coding RNA. The record is from RefSeq and is a predicted model, not a curated record. NCBI's taxonomy places the organism in Eukaryota, Viridiplantae, Streptophyta, Magnoliopsida, Poales, Poaceae.
UGAUGAACACCAAGAGGCUGUGAUUCAAGAUCGAACUAAAAGUGGUGAUGGAGGGUCUGCUCAAUCUACUACUUGCAAGGUGGAUCUGCAAGCCCCUGGGUGGACUUAGAGAGUAAGAGUCGGGAAUCAGCCAACGGAUAGAGCCCCAUGCCCAGAAAGAUUAGAUGCGCUGGAGGAGACAAUUCGAGGGCAUGCAGAUAAAUUGGGGGACCAUGUAGUUGAGCCUGCUAUUGGCUUAACAUUCGACUCCUUGGGUGAAGCAUAUGAUUUUUGCAACCUUUAUUCGUGGGAGCAUGGUUUUGGUAUCAGGACACCCUGUCCCAGCGGGCUCGGCACACUCUCCGCUCCGCUGAAAUUACAGGACACCCUGUCCCAGCAGGCUCGACACUCUCCGCUCCGCUGAAAUUACAGGACCAGGCACUAUGUCUGGGAAGAAUUGGUGCACUGGAGCAAAUGAUUUAGGGGUAUACAGAUUAGUUGGGUGAGCACGGUGCUAUUGGGCUAACACUAGACUCUAUGUAAGAAACCUAUGGUUUUUACAAUAUUUAUUCAUGGAA